This 2902-nucleotide ribosomal RNA is filed under the name Acinetobacter baumannii. RNAcentral's name for it is "bacterial LSU rRNA". It matches the Rfam family "Bacterial large subunit ribosomal RNA". Lineage: Bacteria; Pseudomonadati; Pseudomonadota; Gammaproteobacteria; Moraxellales; Moraxellaceae. The record is from RNAcentral. RNAcentral also lists the same sequence under 1 other name.
AUUAAGUGCAUGUGGUGGAUGCCUUGGCAGUCAGAGGCGAUGAAAGACGUGAUAGCCUGCGAAAAGCUCCGGGGAGGCGGCAAAUAUCCUUUGAUCCGGAGAUGUCUGAAUGGGGGAACCCACCUACUUUAAGGUAGGUAUUGCAACAUGAAUACAUAGUGUUGCAAGGCGAACGAGGGGAAGUGAAACAUCUCAGUACCCUUAGGAAAAGAAAUCAAUUGAGAUUCCCUCAGUAGCGGCGAGCGAACGGGGAUCAGCCCAUUAAGUUAUGUGUGUUUUAGUGGAACGCUCUGGGAAGUGCGAACGUAGAGGGUGAUAUUCCCGUACACGAAAGGGCACACAUAAUGAUGACGAGUAGGGCGAGGCACGUGAAACCUUGUCUGAAUAUGGGGGGACCAUCCUCCAAGGCUAAAUACUCCUGACUGACCGAUAGUGAACCAGUACCGUGAGGGAAAGGCGAAAAGAACCCCUGUGAGGGGAGUGAAAUAGAUCCUGAAACCGCAUGCAUACAAGCAGUGGGAGCACCUUCGUGGUGUGACUGCGUACCUUUUGUAUAAUGGGUCAGCGACUUAUAUUCAGUAGCGAGGUUAACCGUAUAGGGGAGCCGUAGAGAAAUCGAGUCUUAAUAGGGCGUUUAGUUGCUGGGUAUAGACCCGAAACCAGGCGAUCUAUCCAUGAGCAGGUUGAAGGUUGGGUAACACUAACUGGAGGACCGAACCCACUGUCGUUGAAAAGCCAGGGGAUGACUUGUGGAUAGGGGUGAAAGGCUAAUCAAGCCUGGUGAUAGCUGGUUCUCCCCGAAAGCUAUUUAGGUAGCGCCUCGGACGAAUACCAUAGGGGGUAGAGCACUGUUUCGGCUAGGGGGUCAUCCCGACUUACCAAACCGAUGCAAACUCCGAAUACCUAUGAGUACUAUCCGGGAGACAGACUGCGGGUGCUAACGUCCGUAGUCAAGAGGAAAACAAUCCAGACCGCCAGCUAAGGCCCCAAAAUCAUAGUUAAGUGGGAAACGAUGUGGGAAGGCAUAGACAGCUAGGAGGUUGGCUUAGAAGCAGCCACCCUUUAAAGAAAGCGUAAUAGCUCACUAGUCGAGUCGGCCUGCGCGGAAGAUGUAACGGGGCUAAAACUAUGUGCCGAAGCUGCGGAUGUAUACUUUGUAUACGUGGUAGGGGAGCGUUCUGUAAGCCGAUGAAGGUGUGUUGAGAAGCAUGCUGGAGGUAUCAGAAGUGCGAAUGCUGACGUGAGUAACGACAAAACGGGUGAAAAACCCGUUCGCCGAAAGACCAAGGGUUCCAGUCCAACGUUAAUCGGGGCUGGGUGAGUCGACCCCUAAGGCGAGGCCGAAAGGCGUAGUCGAUGGGAAAAUGGUUAAUAUUCCAUUACUUCUGUGUAAUGCGAUGAGAGGACGGAGAAGGCUAAAUCAGCCUGGCGUUGGUUGUCCAGGUGAAAGGAUGUAGGCAUGUAUCUUAGGCAAAUCCGGGGUACUCUAUGCUGAGAUCUGAUAGCAAGCUGUACUUGUACAGCGAAGUGGUUGAUGCCAUGCUUCCAGGAAAAGUCUCUAAGCUUCAGUUACACAGGAAUCGUACCCGAAACCGACACAGGUGGUCAGGUCGAGUAGACCAAGGCGCUUGAGAGAACUCUGCUGAAGGAACUAGGCAAAAUGGUACCGUAACUUCGGGAGAAGGUACGCUGUUGUUGGUGAUGGAACUCGCUUCCUGAGCUGACGACAGCCGCAGAAACCAGGCCGCUGCAACUGUUUAUUAAAAACAUAGCACUCUGCAAACACGAAAGUGGACGUAUAGGGUGUGAUGCCUGCCCGGUGCUGGAAGGUUAAUUGAUGGGGUUAGCGUAAGCGAAGCUCUUGAUCGAAGCCCCAGUAAACGGCGGCCGUAACUAUAACGGUCCUAAGGUAGCGAAAUUCCUUGUCGGGUAAGUUCCGACCUGCACGAAUGGCAUAAUGAUGGCGGCGCUGUCUCCAGCAGAGGCUCAGUGAAAUCGAAAUCGCUGUGAAGAUGCAGUGUACCCGCGGCUAGACGGAAAGACCCCGUGAACCUUUACUGCAGCUUGACACUGAACUUUGACCUUACUUGUGUAGGAUAGGUGGGAGGCUUUGAAGCUGGAACGCUAGUUCCAGUGGAGCCGUCCUUGAAAUACCACCCUGGUAAUGUUGAGGUUCUAACUCUGUCCCGUGAUCCGGGACGAGGACCGUGUCUGGUGGGUAGUUUGACUGGGGCGGUCUCCUCCUAAAGAGUAACGGAGGAGUACGAAGGUGCGCUCAGCGUGGUCGGAAAUCACGCGUAGAGUAUAAAGGCAAAAGCGCGCUUAACUGCGAGACCCACAAGUCGAGCAGGUACGAAAGUAGGUCUUAGUGAUCCGGUGGUUCUGUAUGGAAGGGCCAUCGCUCAACGGAUAAAAGGUACUCUGGGGAUAACAGGCUGAUACCGCCCAAGAGUUCAUAUCGACGGCGGUGUUUGGCACCUCGAUGUCGGCUCAUCUCAUCCUGGGGCUGAAGCAGGUCCCAAGGGUAUGGCUGUUCGCCAUUUAAAGAGGUACGCGAGCUGGGUUUAGAACGUCGUGAGACAGUUCGGUCCCUAUCUACCGUGGGCGCUGGAAAUUUGAGAGGAUCUGCUCCUAGUACGAGAGGACCAGAGUGGACGAACCUCUGGUGUACCGGUUGUGACGCCAGUCGCAUCGCCGGGUAGCUAUGUUCGGAAGGGAUAACCGCUGAAAGCAUCUAAGCGGGAAGCCUACCUCAAGAUAAGAUUUCCCUAGGACUUUAUGUCCUCUAAAGAGCCGUUCGAGACUAGGACGUUGAUAGGUUGGAUGUGGAAGCAUAGUGAUAUGUGAAGCUGACCAAUACUAAUUGCUCGUGAGGCUUGACUAUACAACACCCAAGCAGUUG